UAGGGAAUCUUCCGCAAUGGGCGAAAGCUUGACGGAGCAACGCCGCGUGAGUGAUGAAGGUCUUCGGAUCGUAAAACUCUGUUAUUAGGGAAGAACAAAUGUGUAAGUAACUAUGCACGUCUUGACGGUACCUAAUCAGAAAGCCACGGCUAACUACGUGCCAGCAGCCGCGGUAAUACGUAGGUGGCAAGCGUUAUCCGGAAUUAUUGGGCGUAAAGCGCGCGUAGGCGGUUUUUUAAGUCUGAUGUGAAAGCCCACGGCUCAACCGUGGAGGGUCAUUGGAAACUGGAAAACUUGAGUGCAGAAAAGGAAAGUGGAAUUCCAUGUGUAGCGGUGAAAUGCGCAGAGAUAUGGAGGAACACCAGUGGCGAAGGCGACUUUCUGGUCUGUAACUGACGCUGAUGUGCGAAAGCGUGGGGAUCAAACAGG
This 429-nucleotide ribosomal RNA is filed under the name Actinomycetes bacterium. RNAcentral describes it as "Actinobacteria bacterium partial 16S ribosomal RNA". It matches the Rfam family "Bacterial small subunit ribosomal RNA", at positions 355 to 776 of the family's 1533-position model. Lineage: Bacteria; Bacillati; Actinomycetota; Actinomycetes. The record is from RNAcentral.